RNAcentral lists this ribosomal RNA (254 nucleotides) under uncultured bacterium. RNAcentral describes it as "partial 16S ribosomal RNA". It matches the Rfam family "Bacterial small subunit ribosomal RNA", at positions 524 to 776 of the family's 1533-position model. The record is from RNAcentral.
UACGGGGGGGGGCAAGCGUUGUUCGGAAUUACUGGGCGUAAAGGGCUCGUAGGCGGCCAACUAAGUCAGACGUGAAAUCCCUCGGCUUAACCGGGGAACUGCGUCUGAUACUGGAUGGCUCGAGUUUGGGAGAGGGAUGCGGAAUUCCAGGUGUAGCGGUGAAAUGCGUAGAUAUCAAGAGGAACACCAGUGGCGAAGGCGAGUCCCUGGACAACUUCUGACGCUGAGGCACGAAAGCUAGGGGAGCAAACAGG